Non-coding RNA from Ascodesmis nigricans, 82 nucleotides. The record is from the annotation of a GenBank genome assembly. Lineage: Eukaryota; Fungi; Ascomycota; Pezizomycetes; Pezizales; Ascodesmidaceae.
GGGGAUGUGGCGCAGUGGUAGCGCGUCCGCUUUGCAUCUGCAUGGUUGCGGAAGGUCUAGGGUUCAAUCCCCUACAUCUCCA